AUACUUACCUGGCAGGAGUGAUUCCAUGAUCAUGAAGGUGGUUUCCCCAGGGUGAAGCUCACCCAUUGUACUUCAGGCGUGUUGACACCUGCGACUUUCCCAAAUGUGGGAAACUAGACUGCGUAAUUCAUGGUAGUGGGAGACUGCGUGCACACUCUCUCCUA
This is a small nuclear RNA of Suncus etruscus (white-toothed pygmy shrew), 164 nucleotides long. RefSeq annotates it as U1 spliceosomal RNA. Lineage: Eukaryota; Metazoa; Chordata; Mammalia; Eulipotyphla; Soricidae. The record is from RefSeq and is a predicted model, not a curated record. The transcript has a single exon.